UACAGAGGUCCCAAGCGUUGUUCGGAUUCAUUGGGCGUAAAGGGUGCGUAGGCGGCGUCGUAAGUUGGAUGUGAAAUCCCCGGGCUUAACCUGGGAACUGCAUCUUAAACUGGUAAGCUGGAGUACUGUAGAGGACAGUGGAAUUUCCGGUGUAGCGGUGAAAUGCGUAGAGAUCGGAAGGAACAUCAGUGGCGAAGGCGACUGUCUGGACAGAUACUGACGCUGAGGCGCGAAAGCGUGGGGAGCAAACAGG
This 253-nucleotide ribosomal RNA is filed under the name uncultured bacterium. RNAcentral's name for it is "partial 16S ribosomal RNA". It matches the Rfam family "Bacterial small subunit ribosomal RNA", at positions 524 to 776 of the family's 1533-position model. The record is from RNAcentral.